AAUCAACGCUGGCGGCGUGCCUCAGACAUGCAAGUCGAACGCGGAAGUCCCCUUCGGGGGACGAAGUAGAGUGGCGCACGGGUGAGUAACACGUAGGUAAUCUACCUUUGGAUGGGGAAUAACAACCGGAAACGGUUGCUAAUACCGCAUAAUGCAGCGGCACCUAAUGGUGACAGUUGUUAAAGCGGGGGAUCGAAAGACCUCGCGUCUAAAGAGGAGCCUGCGGCGGAUUAGCUAGUUGGAAGGUAAUGGCUUACCAAGGCUACGAUCUGUAUCCGGUCUAAGAGGACGGUCGGACACACUGACACUGAAUAACGGGUCAGACUCCUACGGGAGGCANCAGUCGGGAAUUUUGGGCAAUGGGCGAAAGCCUGACCCAGCAACGCCGCGUGAAGGAUGAAGUAUUUCGGUAUGUAAACUUCGAAAGAAUGGGAAGAAUCAAUGACGGUACCAUUUAUAAGCUCCGGCUAACUACGUGCCAGCAGCCGC
Molecule: ribosomal RNA, 489 nt
Filed under: uncultured bacterium
Lineage: Bacteria
Description: bacterial SSU rRNA
Rfam family: Bacterial small subunit ribosomal RNA
Source: RNAcentral